Molecule: long non-coding RNA, 880 nt
Organism: Siniperca chuatsi (mandarin fish)
Lineage: Eukaryota; Metazoa; Chordata; Actinopteri; Centrarchiformes; Sinipercidae
Exons: 3
Source: RefSeq, a predicted model, not a curated record
UCUCUCCUUCUGUCACUUUCAGCAGGUAUUUCUGUCUCCGGAGCUGCAGAGUCUGGAUCUCUGGUUGUGAGCCACCUGUUCCCCCCGUGUUCCUGCUCGACAACUGCUAUUACAUUUGUUGUUAUUGGAUGAGCUAACUCAGCUAACUCUGAGGAGAACAGAAUGGACUCGCCAGCUGAUGGAGCAGCAACCUCGUUUUCCCUCCCACGGACUGACACAGCAGUUUGGGACAACCACCCUAUUCCCCUGGCCUAAACGACCACACUGCCACAAAACAAACUGUCUGUCAUGUACCUGCAGUUGGUGCAUGUGCACCAUGGGGGAAGUCCACUGUCCGGGAUGUGUGGACCAGGACUUUUCAUCAGAAAAUGUGAUUAAAUCGAAGAUCAUCCCAGGCUUUUAUUAAUCUUCACAGGGAGCCGGUCCUUCUGCUGGCUGGACAGGGCCUGCAGAUUGGCCUGUGAAAGGAACAGAAACAACACUACUGAAAACAUAGUUUGGUGACUUACUGCCAUUAGUGCAUUAUAUGCUAUAUCUGCUGUCUGUGCUACAUGGAGUUCCUCCAUUCUCUCCCAGUCCUGAGGAUCAAUUUGGUCUCUGGCACCUGGUCUGCCCACUCCUUCUACCCAUCCCGUGCACACCUCCCCACCCCCUGUGGACACGUAUGCGUGCACACGCAUUUACAAAGGUUCAUUUCACAUGUAGAAGUGGGGUAAUAUCUGUUCAUCUUAGCAGACCACAAUCAGUAUUUCUUCUUGGAUCAUUUGUGGUUGGGGUAUGUAAGGCCAAAGCAUAUCUGGCGAUCCAGUCAGGCUGACACCAUGUUAUCACCAUCUCUGUUACACAGUUUCUUUCAUUUUGUAAAAACAUACAAUAACAU